UACCAGCACCCCGAAUGGUCGGGACGAUUAUUGGGCCUAAAGCAUCCGUAGCCGGUUCUACAAGUCUUCCGUUAAAUCCACCUGCUUAACAGAUGGGCUGCGGAGGAUACUAUGGAGCUAGGAGGCGGGAGAGGCAAGCGGUACUUAGUGGGUAGGGGUAAAAUCCGUUGAUCCAUUGAAGACCACCAGUGGCGAAGGCGGCUUGCCAGAACGCACUCGACGGUGAGGGAUGAAAGCUGGGGGAGCAAACCGG
RNAcentral lists this ribosomal RNA (253 nucleotides) under uncultured bacterium. RNAcentral's name for it is "partial 16S ribosomal RNA". It matches the Rfam family "Archaeal small subunit ribosomal RNA", at positions 474 to 727 of the family's 1478-position model. The record is from RNAcentral.